RNAcentral lists this long non-coding RNA (703 nucleotides) under Brassica rapa (field mustard). RNAcentral describes it as "long non-coding RNA (BRAP_LNC000397)". Lineage: Eukaryota; Viridiplantae; Streptophyta; Magnoliopsida; Brassicales; Brassicaceae. The record is from RNAcentral.
UUUGUGCUUGAGAACAACAAUGCGUUUGUUUAGAAAUUUCAGCAUGUCAGCCGUUUUUGUAAUUGCAUUUGACAACAUUUUGUAAUUUUAAUCCAAUUUUCUAGUAGCAUUUUUUAAAACAUCCAAAAAAUUAUACUCUAUGUAGUAGGACAAAACAAAUCAUGUAAAUAUCAAUUUCACCUUGUAUAAUUUUAUCGAGUUAUGUGUUAAUUUUAUGUUUGUUUGGAUUUCAAAAGUUCAUAAGAAAUUCCAAAACUUCAGAAAGAAAAAAAAAUACUUAGGAGUUGCAACUAUUUUGACAAAAGAGAUAAAUCACAAUGAAACGUGUGAAAAAAAGAAAAGAGAGCUAGAAAGCAAACACUUCAAGAAAUAGAAGGGCUAAUAAUGCAGUUAUCAAAAUCCUCCGUGAAAGAGAAUCAAAGCUUUAAAUGCUAUUAUGAUUAGAGAAAGAAAAAAAAUGUUAUCAAAAAGGGAAAAAAUAAAAGGAAAUAGAAUAGGGGAGAUGUUGAACCCGCUACCUCUAAAACAGAUAGGUAAUCACAACACCAUACAUUACAAUAAAUUUACUAAAAUUUUGUUGCUCCUGAUAAUCAUAUACUUCCUGGCACCUAAAGCCCUUGUUUCAUGGGCUUUAGCCGAGGGCGGCCCUGAAUACUUGCUUGCAUACCUAGACCACAACAUACAUGUGAAACACAUAUCACUG